This is a long non-coding RNA of Salvia splendens (bonfire salvia), 1706 nucleotides long. RefSeq lists it as uncharacterized. The transcript has 3 exons. The record is from RefSeq and is a predicted model, not a curated record. Lineage: Eukaryota; Viridiplantae; Streptophyta; Magnoliopsida; Lamiales; Lamiaceae.
AUCAUACCUACACCAAAUUAAAUGAACAAGUGAAUAAAUACUCAAAUAGUUACUUUAAUAAACAAAUAAAAUUAAAAAAAAGAGAGAGAGAGGGGGUAGAUCGUUUUUUUUUUCAACACAACAUUAAUUGAUGCAUUUAAUUAGAGUAGACAAAUCUUUUCCCCUCCUCUGACAAAAGAGAUUUGAGAUAGGAAUGUGGCAGGCAACUUGCCACAACCAACUUGCUACCCACGCCACUUUCACCGCCAUCUUUUAUACAUAUACACAAUUGUUUUCUUCACCCCCACAUCACUAUCACACCAUCUAUUCUCUCUGCACACACCAACCCCACAAAACAUAGAGGAGUCCGAGGAGGGAGAUUUCUACAAUCCAACAACACUUUACUUCCCCAUCAAAAGGCUAUCUCCGCAAGUAAGGUCGGAGUAAGAAAUUCAAGUUAAGGAAACUAAGCGAUCAAGGGAAUGCCUUGUAGGCUAUGAUAAAGCAACAGCUGACUAAGGCUCUCCCCAUGUGCUUCCAAUAGGUCCAAAGUGGAGAAUGUUGGAUAUUAUGUGGACCAAUUUUGGUGUUGGACUUAUGUAUUAAUUGAAUUGGGCUGGCCUGAUUUAAUUAAUUAGUUAGGCCAAAAUCUUUGGUGAGUUUGGCCCGUUGUAUGGCUGGCCUGUUACUUACCUUGUGUAUCCGAUGGCCGCCUUGUAGCAUCUCCACUCGGAUCACGGAGCUCAGCCGUUGGAUGAGAAGUGUGUUUGUGUUGUGUGUUAUGUACACUACUUACCUUUCUCUCUCGCAUUCAUUCAUCUAUUCUCUCUCUCUCUCUUGCGAUAACUCUCCGCCUUCUCUCUACUCUCUCUCUGGUUUUCCGGCCGUGUUCGCCGGUCAUCUUCUCCGAUCUCUUUGUUCCACCGGUGAUUCUCGGUUUUAGAGAGGUUCAUCGGUUUAGAUCUUGAGUUAGGCGACUUCUUCGGUGUCCUUCUCAAAUCUAGGGUUAGGUCUAACUCUUGUGUUGGAUCUAGUUGUGAUUGGAGAUAUUCUUGAGAGUUCUUGUGUUUCGAAGCGGUGUUCCAAGGGAUUCGUGUUGAUCCGUGUGUUGAGUUGGUUGCGUUGGCGGUAGUCGGUGAAACUGAGGUUUCUGACCACUGUGUUCAACGGUGCUCGUCUUGUGACUGUCGGUUGAAGCUGUGAGGAGGUCCUUGGCCUGGUGUAGUCGUUGUUGCGACCUGAGCAAUAUCUUGUUGCUUGAGACUCUGUUUGUCUUUGAUUGUUCUGAAUUGAUUUAGAUCCUAAGGGAUCAAAUGAUUAGUGUUACUAACAAUUCUACUUAGUGUGCAGGUAUACAUUUUCAGAUAGAGCUUGUGGACUCAGUCUAGUAGAAGACUGACUUGUAGCUAGGGUGUUCCUGAGUUGUAUCAUUUGUACUUAGAUUACUUGUAAUCUUGUAAUCUUCUUUUGUACUUGGCUUGUUCCUCUGUGAUUAGCCAUCUCAGAAUUGCGGUAUACAAAAAGAGGUUCCGGUAAUUAGUGAAUCCAUGGUGGUCUGAUCCCUACUCAAUGAAUACAAGUUUUUGUGAUGUCAAACUCGAUCUCGCUUCUAUCCCAUCAUUAUGUUUGUCUUGUUGUAAUAGAGGCGAGUCAAUUUUUUAAUUUCAUUUUUCUAAUUUUUCAAUGCACUAUAUUUAAUACUACUACUAUACUACUUUUUUCCUUUA